GAGAUGUGGGGAGAGACGGCGAGAUGUGGGGAGAGACGGCGAGAUGUGGGGAGAGACGGUGAGAUGUUGGGAGAGACGGUGAGAGAUGGAAGACCAACUGACCAACAGACCAGUGUAUAUUUACUCACCCACAGAGUUGUUUAAAGACUGUUGUACGGUGGAGUCUAUAAAUAGGUAAAAGGUAUUCUAACAAACGUAGCAUACCCCCCCCAAGGUCUCCAUAGCCUCAUUACCUGACUGGUUACCAGGAGGUAUCAGACUCCGACACCGACUAGGGGGAGGUAUCAGACACCGUCACCGACUAGGGGGAGGUAUCCGACACCGUCACCGACUAGGGGGAGGUAUCAGACACCGACUAGGGGGAGGUAUCAGACACCGACUAGGGGGAGGUAUCAGACACCGACUAGGGGGAGGUAUCCGACACCGUCACCGACUAGGGGGAGGUAUCCGACACCGUCACCGACUAGGGGGAGGUAUCCGACACCGUCACCGACUAGGGGGAGGUAUCCGACACCGUC
This 518-nucleotide long non-coding RNA is filed under the name Salmo salar (Atlantic salmon). RNAcentral describes it as "lncRNA (ENSSSAG00000113888.1)". Lineage: Eukaryota; Metazoa; Chordata; Actinopteri; Salmoniformes; Salmonidae. The record is from RNAcentral.